GGUGCGUGAGCCAGACGGCCAGGCAACGGUCUGCAAAACCGUGCAAACGGGUUCGACUCCCGUACGCACCU
This 71-nucleotide transfer RNA is filed under the name Pleurocapsa minor GSE-CHR-MK 17-07R. RNAcentral's name for it is "Pleurocapsa minor GSE-CHR-MK-17-07R (algae metagenome) tRNA-Cys". It matches the Rfam family "tRNA". Rfam says of the family: Transfer RNA (tRNA) molecules are approximately 80 nucleotides in length. Their secondary structure includes four short double-helical elements and three loops (D, anti-codon, and T loops). The record is from RNAcentral. RNAcentral also lists the same sequence under 1 other name. Lineage: Bacteria; Bacillati; Cyanobacteriota; Cyanophyceae; Pleurocapsales; Pleurocapsaceae.